This 497-nucleotide ribosomal RNA is filed under the name uncultured bacterium. RNAcentral describes it as "partial 16S ribosomal RNA". It matches the Rfam family "Bacterial small subunit ribosomal RNA", at positions 28 to 507 of the family's 1533-position model. The record is from RNAcentral.
GAUGAACGCUGGCGGCGUGCCUAAUACAUGCAAGUCGAGCGAACGGACGAGAAGCUUGCUUCUCUGAUGUUAGCGGCGGACGGGUGAGUAACACGUGGAUAACCUACCUAUAAGACUGGGAUAACUUCGGGAAACCGGAGCUACUACCGGAUAAUAUUUUGAACCGCAUGGUUCAAAAGUGAAAGACGGUCUUGCUGUCACUUAUAGAUGGAUCCGCGCUGCAUUAGCUAGUUGGUAAGGUAACGGCUUACCAAGGCAACGAGGCAUAGCCGACCUGAGAGGGUGAUCGGCCACACUGGAACUGAGACACGGUCCAGACUCCUACGGGAGGCAGCAGUAGGGAAUCUUCCGCGAUGGGCGAAAGCCUGACGGAGCAACGCCGCGUGAGUGAUGAAGGUCUUCGGAUCGUAAAGCUCUGUUAUUAGGGAAGAACAUAUGUGUAAGUAACUGUGCACAUCUUGACGGUACCUAAUCAGAAAGCCACGGCUAACUACGUG